Syngnathus typhle (broad-nosed pipefish) is the source of this 853-nucleotide long non-coding RNA. RefSeq lists it as uncharacterized. NCBI's taxonomy places the organism in Eukaryota, Metazoa, Chordata, Actinopteri, Syngnathiformes, Syngnathidae. The transcript is spliced from 3 exons. The record is from RefSeq and is a predicted model, not a curated record.
UGUAAGCACCUUUCCCAUUUCGUUAAAAACAUUAGUUUUAAUUUUUUACUUUUUCUAAUGCGACUUUACACAGUGAUCCCUUGCUACUUCGCGUUUCGUUUAUCGCGGCUUCCCUACAUCGCGGAUUUUUCCCCCCAAAUUAAAAUAAAACAUCUAAAAGUCAAAAUAAAACUUCUAAAUUGAGGAGACAUGUGUCUAACAUUUAAGACAAUGCAGUAUUGCUCCAAAUGUUUGUUUACAUUCCUUUAGAAGUCCGUUUUUGCGUGUUAGCACGAUCGCGAAUUACCACCUUUCCGCUAACGCGUUAGCCUGCCCAGUAUUUCUUGUUGGUGACUGUACUUUGCGGAUUUCACUAAUCGCGGGUGGUUUUUGGAACCAAUUAUCUGCAAACAAAUUAAAUGUCUCUUAGUGAUUAGAAUAUUUUGUUCCCCAAGCUGCUCUCUGCAUCCGUCUAGUUCACAAAUGACGGUCAUGUGCUUCCUCCUUCUCCACAUAGGUUUUGUGGUGUGACCUGCACAGCAAAGCAAUGCGCUGUUUGAUCAUCAGCUUGUCCUGCAUCCAGCACUGAGAAAAUCAAUUUAUGUGUUAAUACUCUCCGAUCCUGUUAUGCAAUCUUUUCCUUUUUUCAGAACAUACAUACACACACACACACACUAGAGGGCAGAGUGUCACAACUGAAGACUUCUAUGUCUUCCCACCAAUUGUGGCAGUCUUCCAUACACAGAGGAACAUUCAAGAUUCUCUCCCUGCGCCACUCCUGAUCCACCUGCACAAAUCUCUCAAUGUGGAUUACACUGACACAAGAACAGCAGCACCCACCGGUUGUAUCCAGGGCCCCAAGUGUGGUGAGCAU